UCCAGACUCCUACGGGAGGCAGCAGUGGGGAAUAUUGCACAAUGGGGGAAACCCUGAUGCAGCGACGCCGCGUGAGCGAAGAAGUAUUUCGGUAUGUAAAGCUCUCUCAGCAGGGAAGAAAAAAAUGACGGUACCUGAGUAAGAAGCACCGGCUAAAUACGUGCCAGCAGCCGCGGUAAUACGUAUGGUGCAAGCGUUAUCCGGAUUUACUGGGUGUAAAGGGAGCGUAGGCGGCGCGUUAAGUCUGAUGUGAAAACCCGAGGCUCAACCACGGGAGUGCAUUGGAAACUGGCGGGCUGGAGUGCCGGAGAGGUAAGCGGAAUUCCUAGUGUAGCGGUGAAAUGCGUAGAUAUUAGGAGGAACACCAGUGGCGAAGGCGGCUUACUGGACUGUAACUGACGUUGAGGCUCGAAAGCGUGGGGAGCAAACAGGAUUAGAUACCCGGGUAC
RNAcentral lists this ribosomal RNA (449 nucleotides) under uncultured bacterium. Its description in RNAcentral is "bacterial SSU rRNA". It matches the Rfam family "Bacterial small subunit ribosomal RNA", at positions 330 to 793 of the family's 1533-position model. The record is from RNAcentral.